UCGCGGCUACCAUGCAGUCGACGAUGAACCGGUUUCGGCCGGGGAUUAGUGGCGAACGGGUGAGUAACACGUGGGCAAUCUGCCCUUCACUCUGGGACGAGCCCUGGAAACGGGGUCUAAUACCGGAUACCACACGGGGAGGCAUCUCCUCCGUGUGGAAAGCUCCGGCGGUGAACGAUGAGCCCGCGGCCUAUCAGCUUGUUGGUGGGGUGAUGGCCUACCAAGGCGACGAUCAGGUAGCACGCCUAAGCAGGACUAACUGCCACACUAGGAUCCGAGACACGUCCAAGAAUCCUACAGGAGGCAGCAGUGAGGAAUAUUGCACAAUGUCCAAAAGCAUGAUGCAGCGACGACGAGUGAGCGAUGACGCCAGUGCGAGUUGUAAAACGUCGUUCACCACGGAAGAAGAGAGAGUGACGGUACCUGCAAGAGAAGAGCAUGAUAACUACGUGACCAGCAGCCGCUGCUAGAUACGUACGGCGCGAAGCGUUGUCAGCGAAUAUAUUGGGAGUAAAGAGCUCUUAGGCGGCCUUUCGCGUCGGAUGUGAAAGCCCGGUGACUCAACGCCCGAGUCUGCAUUACAUACAGGGCAGGCUAGAGUUCGGUAGGGGAGAUCUGAUUUCCUGGUGUAGCGGUGAAAUGCGCAGAUAUCAGGAGGAACACCGGUGGCGAAGGCGGAUCUAUGGGCCGAUACUGACUAUGAGGAGCGAAAGCGUGGGGAGCGAACAGGAUUAGAUACCCUGGUAGUCCACGCCGUAAACGUUGAGAACUAGGUGUGCGUCGACAUUCCACGUCGUCCGUGCCGCAGUCUAACGCAUUAAGUUCCCCGCCUGGGGAGUACGGCCGCAAGGCUAAAACUCAAAGGAAUUGACGGUGGCCCGCACAAGCAGCAGUAGCAUGUGAUAUAAUUCGACGCAACGCGAACAUCCUUACCGAGGCUUGACAUACACAGAAGAACCCUGAACACAGCGUCCCCCUUGUGGUCUGAUGUACAGGUGGUGCAUGGCUGAUCGUCAGCUCUUGUCGCUGAGAUGUUGCGUUAAGUCCCGCUACGAGCGCGACCCGUUGUUACUGUGUUGACAGCAUGCAUUUCCCGGUUGAUGGCGACUCACAGCAGACUUGCCGGUGUCAACUAGGAAGAAGGUGGGAAAGACGUCAAGAUCAGUCAUGACCACAUUAUGUCUUGGACCGCACACCUGAUACAAUGGCUCAGCUACAAUGAGGUGCGAUACCGCGAGGUGGAGAAAAUCUCAAAAAGCCGGUCUCAGUUCUGAUUGGGGUCUGCAACUCGACCCCAUGAAGUCGUAGUUGCUAGUAAUCGCAGAUCAGCAUUGCUGCGGUGAAUACGUUCCCGGGCCUUGUACACACACGCCCGUCACGUCACGAAAGUCGGUAACACCAGAAGCCGCUGGCCCAACCCCUUGGGGAGGGAAUUUCGAACGUGACGAU
This 1449-nucleotide ribosomal RNA is filed under the name actinobacterium NDZKDS22. Its description in RNAcentral is "bacterial SSU rRNA". It matches the Rfam family "Bacterial small subunit ribosomal RNA". Lineage: Bacteria; Bacillati; Actinomycetota; Actinomycetes. The record is from RNAcentral.